RNAcentral lists this ribosomal RNA (366 nucleotides) under uncultured bacterium. RNAcentral describes it as "bacterial SSU rRNA". It matches the Rfam family "Bacterial small subunit ribosomal RNA", at positions 30 to 394 of the family's 1533-position model. The record is from RNAcentral.
AUUGAACGCUGGCGGCAUGCCUUACACAUGCAAGUCGAACGGCAGCACGGGAGCUUGCUCCUGGUGGCGAGUGGCGAACGGGUGAGUAAUAUAUCGGAACGUACCCUAGAUGGGGGAUAACGCAGCGAAAGUUGCGCUAAUACCGCAUACGAUCUACGGAUGAAAGUGGGGGAUCGCAAGACCUCAUGCUCAUGGAGCGGCCGAUAUCUGAUUAGCUAGUUGGUGGGGUAAAGGCCUACCAAGGCAUCGAUCAGUAGCUGGUCUGAGAGGACGACCAGCCACACUGGAACUGAGACACGGUCCAGACUCCUACGGGAGGCAGCAGUGGGGAAUUUUGGACAAUGGGGGCGAACCCUGAUCCAGCAA